This is a long non-coding RNA of Neocloeon triangulifer, 649 nucleotides long. RefSeq lists it as uncharacterized. The record is from RefSeq and is a predicted model, not a curated record. Lineage: Eukaryota; Metazoa; Arthropoda; Insecta; Ephemeroptera; Baetidae. The transcript has 5 exons.
GAUCGAGACGGAGCGACUCACAAUUGAGUGGAAAGACGCGGACCAUGGAUCGUUUCAUCUUAAUGCUUGUUUUGCUCGUCGCCGCCGCCCUGGCCAGCGAAUCUUCAACCAAGACUGUUGAAUCCACGACCACAUCAACUCCGUCCAAAUGCUCUCUUGCUCUUGGUUCGGCCGAGUUGACGACGCUGGCCAACGGCAAGAAGUACUUGUUUCCCGGCAUCAGAAAAAGCUGAUUCGAAGGGAACGAAACUUGCGCCAACAAAGGUCUGCUCAUGGCCUCGAUCAGCAACCAAAUGGACGCGGAUGUAGUUUCGGCCGAGGCUGACAGAACCAGACCUGGCAACGGUUUUUGGGUUUCGGCGAAAAAGUCGAAAAGCUGGAGCGAAAGGGACUUCCGUUGGCACGACGGCACCAAGCUGGAGUUGGACAGUCCCUUGUGGGGGGACGAAGCGAACAAGAUUAACUUCGACUGCGUCUUCAUCUACCGUGGCAAACUGAACACUCAUUUCUGCAUCAAUGGAUCACCGUUCUUCGUUUGCGAGCUUCCCAGAGAAUGCUACUGAUUGAUCCAUAGCAUAAGCGUUUAGAAUUUUGUUAAAAUACUCGCUUGCCUGAAGGUGUUUAUAAUAAACACGCUUGUUUAAGAGAA